This 377-nucleotide ribosomal RNA is filed under the name uncultured bacterium. RNAcentral's name for it is "bacterial SSU rRNA". It matches the Rfam family "Bacterial small subunit ribosomal RNA", at positions 521 to 896 of the family's 1533-position model. The record is from RNAcentral.
UAAGACAGAGGGUGCAAACGUUGCUCGGAAUUACUGGGCGUAAAGCGCGUGUAGGCGGACAAGCAAGUCAGGUGUGAAAUCCCUGGGCUCAACCCAGGAACUGCAUUUGAAACUGCAUGUCUAGAGUGUCGGAGAGGGAAGCGGAAUUCCUGGUGUAGAGGUGAAAUUCGUAGAUAUCAGGAGGAACACCGGUGGCGAAGGCGGCUUCCUGGACGAUUACUGACGCUGAGACGCGAAAGCGUGGGGAGCAAACAGGAUUAGAUACCCUGGUAGUCCACGCCGUAAACGAUGGGUGCUAGGUGUCGCGGGUUUUGACCCCUGCGGUGCCGUAGCUAACGCGUUAAGCACCCCGCCUGGGGAGUACGGCCGCAAGGCUA